This 30-nucleotide non-coding RNA is filed under the name Rattus norvegicus (Norway rat). The record is from RNAcentral. Lineage: Eukaryota; Metazoa; Chordata; Mammalia; Rodentia; Muridae.
UGACGUUAUUGUAUGUAAAUGAUUUCAGGC